This is a long non-coding RNA of Symphalangus syndactylus (siamang), 649 nucleotides long. RefSeq lists it as uncharacterized. Lineage: Eukaryota; Metazoa; Chordata; Mammalia; Primates; Hylobatidae. The record is from RefSeq and is a predicted model, not a curated record.
GCCGCGCGCUUCUCCAGACUUGCGCCCGCGUCUGGGCUGGGCCCGGGCUUCCCCACCCCGGCGGCGCCCUCCCCAAUGAGGGAGAACCGUCAAAAGCGAAGAAGCCACGGGUGAACCAUGGGAAGUAUUUUUCAAGACAGAAGUAUGAAUAGCACCUCCUAAGGACUCGGCACUGGAUAGGAAAAUAAGCUGAAAGGCGUUGGGACAGGGCCGGCCUGGCUUUAUUGCGCAGGACCUGCAGGCCUUGGUCCGCGGCGCGCCCCGGGAACCUUCCAGGCCUCCUGCCCUGGCUCGCCCUGACCUCCCCUCUGGGAGAGGCGCGACCGCUGGACUGUCAGGACCAGGGACAGCGGCGUCACCGCGGGGCCUUCCUACCCUCAAGCAGCGGCCCCAAACGGAUCCUUUUUGCUGCCCAGAAUCUUUCCUCCUCCUUAGCGGCCACCUCUUCUGGGAAGCCCACCCUGACUAUCCCAGGUGACCGGGGCUCGGAGAAGCAUUGCCCCCUGGAACACCGACCUCCGCCCUGGUAGAGCGGUGGGUGAGAGGCUUCGCGGCUGGGCGACCCCCUCCAGCGUAGUGAGAAAUCAGGAUCCCAGUGGCCCAAAAAACUCCUUUUUUAAAACAUUAAAAUCCGAGUUUUAAUGUCAAA